GUUCCUGGCUCAGGACGAACGCUGGCGGCGUGCCUAAUACAUUCAAGUAGAACGCUGAAGAGAGGAGCUUGCUCUUCUUGGAUGAGUUGCGAACGGGUGAGUAACGCGUAGGUAACCUGCCUUGUAGCGGGGGAUAACUAUUGGAAACGAUAGCUAAUACCGCAUAACAAUGGAUGACCCAUGUCAUUUAUUUGAAAGGGGCAAAUGCUCCACUACAAGAUGGACCUGCGUUGUAUUAGCUAG
This 243-nucleotide ribosomal RNA is filed under the name uncultured bacterium. Its description in RNAcentral is "partial 16S ribosomal RNA". It matches the Rfam family "Bacterial small subunit ribosomal RNA", at positions 15 to 248 of the family's 1533-position model. The record is from RNAcentral.